Molecule: long non-coding RNA, 1909 nt
Filed under: Suricata suricatta (meerkat)
Lineage: Eukaryota; Metazoa; Chordata; Mammalia; Carnivora; Herpestidae
Description: lncRNA (ENSSSUG00005019196.1)
Source: RNAcentral
UCAUAGAAAGGAUACAAGCCUUAUCAUACCGCUAUGUCUGAAUAGAGUAAUUACAGGUAUUUUUGAUACCUGAUUGUAGACUGCGGAGGCGCGUCUCUGUUUCUGUGUUUGCUGGUCCCGCUCUGGCAAAGGUGUCCCGCGGCUGAGACUCUGGGCUCACCUGCACGGGUCUGCACGGGUCUCCGGAAGGGGCUCCCAGCGCGCCCCCGGCCUGCGCGGGGGCUUCUGGGAGAUGUGGUCCGUCCGCCGGCCCGCGCGCCUCCGUGCGCCUCGGCUCAGGCCGCUGGUUCUUCUUACUCCGCAGGGCGGGUGCGCAGAGCUGGUUCCGCCCAUGAACGUCUCGCGGCGGCCUCCGGACCCAAGACCUCCAGGCGGCUGCCUGGAGAGAAGGGGUUCCCGCCCCGUCUGCAGCACUGCCGUUUUUCUCUCCAAUUCGUAUCUGCGCUUCACAUCUGCCCGGCUGUCUCCCUCCGACUGUGGAGAUGUUCUGCUACUCUCAGUUCGGCUGGUGCUCCAAGUGAUCUGACCUCAGCAGAGCUGUGUCUAAGGGGCAAGGAAGCCCAAGGUCUGAAUUUUGGGCAAAUCUUGCAGAGAUUGAAGAGAUCUCCAACUGAACUAUUGUUAAACUGGACAACUGGAAUGCAUAACUUUAGAGACAGCUCUUGGAAUGACGACUCCCCAGUGCCGUCUCCUGGACUUUGUAGUUCCUCUUACUUGAAGUCUGUCUUCCACAGCCUCUGCACUUCCUGGCUUUUGAUUCUAGUGAGUUCUGUGCCUCCUCCCCGCUGGGACUUCAGUGUGGGACCAGCAGGUCUCAGGCCCUUUGGGAGGCCCUGCUUCUCUCUGACCUCUGCUCUAACUGCCUUCUCUGGCCAGCUCUGUUGGAACAGAAGGUGUUGCCUGUUGAUUUCCGCAACUCUCAGGCCAGGGAAUGACAACUAAGAAAGAGCCAAGGAAUGACAAGAAAGACACAGACACAUUAGAAGCUUGAUGCAGCAUCCCCUGCCCAGACAAACCGGCCUCCUUCUUUAUUGUCUCAACUACCCAUCCUCCUGGUUCCGGUUGCCAGGGGCCUGUGGCCAAGUUCCUGCUCCGUAUCAGCAAGUAACCCUCUGCUUGGAGGCAGGCUCGUGUUUGCACGUAGGCUGUCUUGACUUUUCGUUUGAUACUCGGUCAGCACCCUGGCUCGUCUGCAAGCACAGGAUGUUCCAGAGCCGAAGAUAUCUCGCCGCCAGGAACGGUCAGCCUGGAACCGGCCCACAGUCAGGGGCGGUCAGCCUGGAACAGGCCCUUCAGUUGCCCGCUAGCCUGUGGCUGCAGGGACAUAGCAGAGGGCUGGACAGCCAUCUCUUACCCUCGAACCGCAGAGUUCCGACAUGAGUAUUUUACUGCUGUGUCUUUCUGUGAACAGGAUUGUGCUCAUUUUCUUAAUCUCCCUCUAUCCACUAUUUCUUCUCAUCAUUAUUCACUGGAAUUAAUUUUUAAGGAUCUGACUCAUUGUUGAUUUAGACUCACCCCGUCCAGUUAUGGAGUUUUGUCCUUCCCUUUUUGUGAUCAGUUUUAUUUAAACUUUUAGAGUUUAUUCAAACUAGAAAUUCCUUCUAUAGUGCUUUUCAGGGAGGCCCGGUUUUUAAGAUCUCUGGGUACCAAAGUAACCUUAUUCUAUAGUAUAUUCUCCAUUGUUUCUUCCAGUGAUUUAGUCAAUUGCAGGUCAAUUUCUUCUUUGUCAUCAGUGACACAGUAAUUUGGCUUUUAAUUUCAAAGAAUAUUUCUUCAAUUUUUUUUUCUUAAUUGAUUUUCCUAGAUAGGCAUGACCAGUUGUUUUCUUUUUCCCCACUGUGUUUAUAAUUUAAAUGGAUUUUCACAUCUCUGGGCCUCAGAGUGCAACUAGGAGUAUGGGAAAUAGGAC